This 445-nucleotide ribosomal RNA is filed under the name uncultured bacterium. Its description in RNAcentral is "partial 16S ribosomal RNA". It matches the Rfam family "Bacterial small subunit ribosomal RNA", at positions 354 to 796 of the family's 1533-position model. The record is from RNAcentral.
GUGAGGAAUAUUGGACAAUGGAUGGAAAUCUGAUCCAGCCAUGCCGCGUGCAGGAAGACGGCCCUAUGGGUUGUAAACUGCUUUUAUACGGGAGCAAUAAGGUCUAUGCAUAGAUUGAUGAGAGUACCGUAUGAAUAAGCAUCGGCUAACUCCGUGCCAGCAGCCGCGGUAAUACGGAGGAUGCGAGCGUUAUCCGGAUUUAUUGGGUUUAAAGGGUGCGUAGGCGGCUUUGUAAGUCAGCGGUGAAAUUUUGCAGCUUAACUGUAAAAGAGCCGUUGAUACUGUGAAGCUAGGAUUUGGUUGCUGUGGGCGGAAUGUGUGGUGUAGCGGUGAAAUGCAUAGAGAUCACACAGAAUAUCGAUUGCGAAGGCAGCUCACAAAGCCAAUAUUGACGCUGAGGCACGAAAGUGUGGGGAUCAAACAGGAUUAGAUACCCGUGUAGUCC